CCCUUCUAAAAUAAUCGAAUAUGUCAGGCAAAAUGACCCCAAAAAAUAAGGAAAGUCAACGGAGCACAGCAGACUCAUGUUCUAACAUAAUCGAAUAUGCCAAGCAAAAUAAUAUUUAGCAGCCGAUCAUUGAAUCUCGCAUCUUCCUCUACACCAACUUCGUACAACGAAACCCAGGCAAAAUUGUCUCGCUGUUGAGAGAGUUGGCAAAGUUCUUGCACAUUUCUCAACAAAAAAAUGGAGACUAGAUGACUAUCUACACAAAAAUGCUAUAACAAGACCCAAAAAACAAAAAGUUGCUGCUGCAGGAUCCUCUUCCCUGCUUUGAGCUGAU
Syzygium oleosum is the source of this 334-nucleotide long non-coding RNA. RefSeq lists it as uncharacterized. The transcript has 2 exons. Lineage: Eukaryota; Viridiplantae; Streptophyta; Magnoliopsida; Myrtales; Myrtaceae. The record is from RefSeq and is a predicted model, not a curated record.